UCGAGGAUCUUUACCAAUGCCCGAAAGGGUGAGUAUGCGACGCCGCGUGCAGGCAGAAGGCCUUCGGGUUGUAAACUGCUUUCAGGGGUGAGGAAACCUUGCGCGCUAAUAACGCGCAAGCUGACGUUAACCCCAGAAGAAGCCACGGCUAACUCUGUGCCAGCAGCCGCGGUAAUACAGAGGUGGCAAGCGUUGUUCGGAUUUAUUGGGUGUAAAGGGCAGGUAGGCGGUUGCGCAAGUCUGUGGUGAAAUCCCGAAGCUUAACUUCGGAACUGCCACGGAAACUGCGCGGCUGGAGCGUUGGAGGGGUGAGGGGAAUUCUCGGUGUAAGGGUGAAAUCUGUAGAUAUCGAGAGGAAUACCGAUGGCGAAGGCACCUCACUGGCCAAUUGCUGACGCUG
RNAcentral lists this ribosomal RNA (400 nucleotides) under uncultured bacterium. RNAcentral's name for it is "bacterial SSU rRNA". It matches the Rfam family "Bacterial small subunit ribosomal RNA", at positions 355 to 748 of the family's 1533-position model. The record is from RNAcentral.